AUGAGUCACACACAGAGAGAGACCCUUUAUGAAAAGGGAAAAGUUUACGUGCGGUCGACCGGCCGAGUUUCGGCCUGUCACAGCGCGCACUCCGCAACUCGUUCGUCUAUAUGUGGGUCCAUCACCGAACCACCGCCUAGUCUUUUACCUUAUCUCUUCACGGGCGAACGAGAUCCACUCAUUCUUCUACUCACACACAUCUCUUCUGCACCGCGAGCUCCGCUCUCUCCCCUCUUCUUCUCUGUAGAUGCUCGCCCUAUCUCACCGGCGACAAGCUACGCCGGCCGCCAUGGCCACCGCCCACUUUUUUCUCUUUUCUAUCCCGCGGUGGCCGUGGCUGCCCCCACCCCCUUUCCCCUCACCGGAAACAAGUGA
This 375-nucleotide ribosomal RNA is filed under the name Triticum aestivum (bread wheat). Its description in RNAcentral is "partial small subunit ribosomal RNA". The record is from RNAcentral. Lineage: Eukaryota; Viridiplantae; Streptophyta; Magnoliopsida; Poales; Poaceae.